Molecule: ribosomal RNA, 484 nt
Filed under: uncultured bacterium
Lineage: Bacteria
Description: partial 16S ribosomal RNA
Rfam family: Bacterial small subunit ribosomal RNA
Source: RNAcentral
AUUGAACGCUGGCGGCAGGCCUAACACGUGCAGGUCGAGCGGAUGAAGGGAGCUUGCUCCUGGAUUCAGCGGCGGACGGGUGAGUAAUGCCUAGGAAUCUGCCUGGUAGUGGGGGAUAACGUCCGGAAACGGGCGCUAAUACCGCAUACGUCCUGAGGGAGAAAGUGGGGGAUCUUCGGACCUCACGCUAUCAGAUGAGCCUAGGUCGGAUUAGCUAGUUGGUGGGGUAAAGGCCUACCAAGGCGACGAUCCGUAACUGGUCUGAGAGGAUGAUCAGUCACACUGGAACUGAGACACGGUCCAGACUCCUACGGGAGGCGGCAGUGGGGAAUAUUGGACAAUGGGCGAAAGCCUGAUCCAGCCAUGCCGCGUGUGUGAAGAAGGUCUUCGGAUUGUAAAGCACUUUAAGUUGGGAGGAAGGGCAGUAAGUUAAUACCUUGCUGUUUUGACGUUACCAACAGAAUAAGCACCGGCUAACUUCGUG